GUAGGGAAUAUUGGUUAAUGGGCGAAAGCCUGAACCAGCAACGCCGCGUGUGCGAUGAAGGCCUUCGGGUCGUAAAGCACUUUUUGAAGGGAUGAGGAAGGACAGUACCUUCAGAAUAAGUCUCGGCUAACUACGUGCCAGCAGCCGCGGUAAAACGUAGGAGACAAGCGUUAUCCGGAUUUACUGGGCGUAAAGCGCGUGCAGGCGGCACGGAAAGUUGGAUGUGAAAGCUCCCGGCUUAACUGGGAGAGGUCGUUCAAAACUACCGAGCUAGAGGAUGGGAGAGGGAAGUGGAAUUCCGGGUGUAGUGGUGAAAUGCGUAGAUAUCCGGAGGAACACCAGUGGCGAAAGCGGCUUCCUGGCCCAUAACUGACGCUCAGACGCGAAAGCUAGGGUAGCAAACGGGAUUAGAUACCCGUGUAGUCC
This 426-nucleotide ribosomal RNA is filed under the name uncultured bacterium. Its description in RNAcentral is "bacterial SSU rRNA". It matches the Rfam family "Bacterial small subunit ribosomal RNA", at positions 354 to 796 of the family's 1533-position model. The record is from RNAcentral.